UCACAUGCAUGGACUUAUGUCCUAGUUAGGACAGCUGAGACCAGUUCAUCACUGGAUGGGUGUAACCCAAAACUGUGUAUUCUAUAGCCUUCCAUGCCAUUUCCCAGAAACUGUUAUCAAUGAACCAUUUACACCAU
This is a long non-coding RNA of Chiroxiphia lanceolata (lance-tailed manakin), 137 nucleotides long. RefSeq lists it as uncharacterized. Lineage: Eukaryota; Metazoa; Chordata; Aves; Passeriformes; Pipridae. The record is from RefSeq and is a predicted model, not a curated record. The transcript has 3 exons.